This 254-nucleotide ribosomal RNA is filed under the name uncultured bacterium. RNAcentral describes it as "partial 16S ribosomal RNA". It matches the Rfam family "Bacterial small subunit ribosomal RNA", at positions 524 to 776 of the family's 1533-position model. The record is from RNAcentral.
UACGGGGGGCGCAAGCGUUGUUCGGAUUUACUGGGCGUAAAGGGCGCGUAGGCGGUCAGCACAAGUCAGUUGUGAAAUCUCCGAGCUUAACUCGGAAAGGUCAACUGAAACUGUGCGACUAGAGUGCAGAAGGGGCAACUGGAAUUCUUGGUGUAGCGGUGAAAUGCGUAGAUAUCAAGAGGAACACCUGCGGCGAAGGCGGGUUGCUGGGCUGACACUGACGCUGAAGCGCGAAAGCCAGGGGAGCGAACGGG